GGCUUCGUGGUCGAGUGGUAAGGACGAUUGCCUCUCACCCUGGAGUCUCGGGUUUGAUUCCCGGUUGAGGAGUUA
Rhamnusium bicolor is the source of this 75-nucleotide non-coding RNA. The record is from the annotation of a GenBank genome assembly. Lineage: Eukaryota; Metazoa; Arthropoda; Insecta; Coleoptera; Cerambycidae.